UGUUAUCUUUUCAAAACAAGGAACCAAAAGAUAAAGCAUGAAUUGUCUUUUUAUCUAAUAAAUCUGGUGGAUUGGCCCUCCAUUCCCUAGAAAACAGAUUAAUUGUGUAUCAAUUGCCAUAUGUCUCUAAUGGAUAAAUUAUAUAAGAUGGCAAAAGUCAUAUAAAAAAUAAUAUACCACUUGCAGAUUAUGCAAAGCUGGCAUACAGCAGGGAGAUGUAACCGAGGAAAACAUGGGAGUUAAACAAAGAAUCCAGGCUGACGUGCUAAACGGUAAUAAAUAUCAAGUCAAAUCAAAUGGUGGGAACAAGGAACUAUCCAUACCAAUAAUGCCAGUUUCCACUGAGAGACUAAUGCGAUGCACCAUGUGAUUAGCUGUUCAUUCCAACUUUCUUCAAAAAGUUUUAUAUCCAUGAGGUUCCAUCUAAUCUGGUCCCUCUAAUCUUCAAAACAAUUUUUAUGAUAAAUACUUCCUAGCUCUUCCAACUUCUCUAUUCUCCUAUCUUUUAUUUUUUUCAAAAAAAAAUACAUAGAAGGAGAUAUGAAGAUUUUACAGAAUGAGAUGGCCAAAAAUUAUCAUCAAUCAAAAAAUGGACGUCA
Molecule: long non-coding RNA, 599 nt
Filed under: Elaeis guineensis (African oil palm)
Lineage: Eukaryota; Viridiplantae; Streptophyta; Magnoliopsida; Arecales; Arecaceae
Description: long non-coding RNA (EGUI_LNC049955)
Source: RNAcentral